GAUGAACGCUGGCGGCGUGCCUAAUACAUGCAAGUCGAGCGAACAGACGAGGCGCUUGCUCCUCUGACGUUACCGGCGGACGGGUGAGUAACACGUGGAUAACCUACCUCUAAGACUGGGAUAACUUCGGGAAACCGGAGCUAAUACCGGAUAAUAUAUUUAACCGCAUGGUUCGAUAGUGAAAGACGGUUUUGCUGUCACUUAUAGAUAGCUCCGUGCCGGAUUAGCUAGUUGGUACGGUAACGGCUUACCAAGGCAACGAUGAGUAGCCGACCUGAGAGGGGGAACGGCCACACAGGAGCUGAGACACAGUCCAGACUCCUACGGGAGGCAGCAGUAGGGAAUCUUCCGAGAUGGGCGAAAGCUUGACGGAGCAACGCCGCGUGAGUGAUGAAGGUCUUCGGAUCGUAAAACUCUGUUAUUAGGGAAGAACAAAUGUGUAAGUAACUAUGCACGUCGUGACGGUACCUAAUCAGAAAGCCACGGCUAACUACGUG
Molecule: ribosomal RNA, 497 nt
Filed under: uncultured bacterium
Lineage: Bacteria
Description: partial 16S ribosomal RNA
Rfam family: Bacterial small subunit ribosomal RNA
Source: RNAcentral